UUCAGGGAAAAUUGAAUUCCUGUGGAGCAGCUCGCAGGCCGGGCAGUGGCAUUUCAGAGCAGUUUAGAAGCAAUAUUCCACUCGCCGGGGCCGUGAAAUAGGAGUCAUUUCUCUAUGGCCCAGCUGCUUUUCCAACCCCUGUCGCGGGCUGGGCAGUGCCUUAAUUGACCCGGCCCGGCCGCGAGGAACGAUCUGCCUAGCCGCUGACCGGGCCUAGGGAAAGGUCCAAGCUUCCUCCCACCCAGACUCAUUGUCCACCGAAACACACACAGAGGACGGGUGGAGUAACAACCCAACCUGCCCUGCACUCCCCCCCUCAGCCAACCUGUUCCUCCCCAUCUCGCCUCCAGCUGAUUCUGCUCAGCGCCGAGCCAGGUAAUUCAUCCCCAACUCCGCAUACAAAAAAACCCUCACACACACA
Long non-coding RNA from Chelonoidis abingdonii (Abingdon island giant tortoise), 421 nucleotides. RefSeq lists it as uncharacterized. Lineage: Eukaryota; Metazoa; Chordata; Testudines; Testudinidae. The record is from RefSeq and is a predicted model, not a curated record.